CCUCGUAAGCAUGGUAUUUGGCUGGGUUGAGUCCAAAAUCCACCACUGCCUUGGAAGCAAAGAAGUCAUAGUAGAGAAGAUGGUGGGGGGGCUGCCCGGCCUUGAAUAGGUACCAGUGGAUGUAGUUGUUUUCCUCAAGAACAUCACAAGUGAUAACUACAUAGGACCCAUGUUUCCUGGCAAUUGACAUCAUUCCUCCUUCCAAUCCAGAAGACAUUUGACUGCCUACGGAGGACACAGCAACGAAACAAUGAUAAGAAAGAAGUAAGUGGAAUUCUUUAGUAUGGCCUCCCAGCGUGGGGGACCAUGAGCAGCUAUGCCACACCCUUACCAGGAGGCAGGAGAGCUAAAAGCAGGACCACAGCCCACAGCAUGGCUACCUCUCCUCUGCCUUGGAAGGAGAGGGACCAGAUGAGAAGAGAAGCAGAGAGUCCUCUCCAAACUCAAAGCCCUCUCAACACGAAGAACGGUCCUGUGGCCCUGUACCAUAAGGACGACAGGAAGCUGCCAGUUCCAACCAACCUCUGUCCACUGCCCUGGCUCCAUGCGGCAGAGUUCCUUCCCUGUGAACAGCCCGGGCAGGGCUGAUCUGGGAAUGACCAGCAGGUGACACCACCCCAUAAAGAGUGGUCAAGGGGACAGGCUACUGCUCAGGAUGGAGCUGUCCCAAAGGGACUUCUGGGGAAGACUUGACUUCAGAACUGGUGAUCCUGCGAGGAUGUGUCACUUUGGAAAAGCAGAUCAACAGCUGGAGUCCGAAUGGGCUUAGAGGUGUGUGUCCUUGGGAAAGUCAGGGUAAAU
Molecule: long non-coding RNA, 801 nt
Filed under: Fukomys damarensis (Damara mole-rat)
Lineage: Eukaryota; Metazoa; Chordata; Mammalia; Rodentia; Bathyergidae
Description: lncRNA (ENSFDAG00000024375.1)
Source: RNAcentral